UUACGGGAGGCAGCAGUAGGGAAUCUUGGUCAAUGGGCGCAAGCCUGAACCAGCGAUGCCGCGUGUGUGAAGAAGGCCUUAGGGUUGUAAAGCACUUUCAGCAGUGAAGAAACGCCGGGAGCUAAUACCUCCACGGUCUUGACGUUAACUGCAGAAGAAGCACCGGCUAACUCCGUGCCAGCAGCCGCGGUAAUACGGAGGGUGCGAACGUUAAUCGGAAUUACUGGGCGUAAAGCGCGCGUAGGCGGUUUGAUAAGUGGGAUGUGAAAGCCCCGGGCUUAACCUGGGAACUGCAUUCCAAACUGUCAGGCUAGAGUAUGGUAGAGGGAGGUAGAAUUUCCUGUGUAGCGGUGAAAUGCGUAGAUAUAGGAAGGAAUACCGGUGGCGAAGGCGGCCUCCUGGACCAAUACUGACGCUGAGGUGCGAAAGCGUGGGGAGCAGACAGGAUUAGAUACCCUGGUAGUCCACGCCGUAAACGAUGAGAACUAGCCGUUGGGCCCCUUGAGGGUUUAGUGGCGCAGCUAACGCGAUAAGUUCUCCGCCUGGGGAGUACGGCCGCAAGGUUAAAACUCAAAUGAAUUGACGG
RNAcentral lists this ribosomal RNA (586 nucleotides) under uncultured bacterium. RNAcentral's name for it is "bacterial SSU rRNA". It matches the Rfam family "Bacterial small subunit ribosomal RNA", at positions 339 to 916 of the family's 1533-position model. The record is from RNAcentral.